GACGAACGCUGGCGGCGUGCUUAACACAUGCAAGUCGAACGGAAAGGCCCUGCUUUUGUGGGGUGCUCGAGUGGCGAACGGGUGAGUAACACGUGAGUAACCUGCCCUUGACUUUGGGAUAACUUCAGGAAACUGGGGCUAAUACCGGAUAGGAGCUCCUGCUGCAUGGUGGGGGUUGGAAAGUUUCGGCGGUUGGGGAUGGACUCGCGGCUUAUCAGCUUGUUGGUGGGGUAGUGGCUUACCAAGGCUUUGACGGGUAGCCGGCCUGAGAGGGUGGACGGCCACAAUGGGACUGAGAUACGGCCCAGACUCCUACGGGAGGCAGCAGUGGGGAAUAUUGCACAAUGGGCGGAAGCCUGAUGCAGAAACGCCGCGUGCGGGAUGACGGCCUUCGGGUUGUAAACCGCUUUCGCCUGUGACGAAGCGUGAGUGACGGUAAUGGGUAAAGAAGCACCGGCUAACUACGUG
Molecule: ribosomal RNA, 468 nt
Filed under: uncultured bacterium
Lineage: Bacteria
Description: partial 16S ribosomal RNA
Rfam family: Bacterial small subunit ribosomal RNA
Source: RNAcentral